GUGCUAUGACAACAGGGCGAAGAUGGCUCAGAGUUAGGCUGGAGAGGGGAGGUGUCCCUUCCGCUGCGGCCGUCGGGUUUCUGCUACAUCCCAUUCACCGCCUCCUCCAUCCUUUUCUCCUCUGUCCCGUGAUUGGUGGUCUACUAUUCUGGGAGAUAAAGAAGAAUUUGAUCAAGGCUGUUUGUGUCUGGCUAAUGUUGACAAUAGUGGAAAUGGACAAGAUAAAAUAAUUGUGGGUAGCUUUAUGGGAUACCUAAGGAUCUUUAGCCCCCAUCCUGCAAAAACAGGAGAUGGAGCUCAAGCCGAAGAUUUGCUUCUAGAAGUGGAUCUACGAGAUCCAGUACUUCAAGUGGAAGUAGGAAAGUUUGUUUCAGGUACUGAAAUGCUGCAUUUGGCUGUGUUACAUUCUAGAAAACUUUGUGUCUACUCUGUCUCAGGAACCUUGGGUAAUGUGGAACAUGGGAACCAAUGUCAGAUGAAAUUGAUGUAUGAACAUAAUCUUCAGAGAACAGCCUGCAAUAUGACCUAUGGAUCA
RNAcentral lists this small RNA (535 nucleotides) under Pan troglodytes (chimpanzee). RNAcentral's name for it is "processed transcript". Lineage: Eukaryota; Metazoa; Chordata; Mammalia; Primates; Hominidae. The record is from RNAcentral.